Danio rerio (zebrafish) is the source of this 493-nucleotide non-coding RNA. Lineage: Eukaryota; Metazoa; Chordata; Actinopteri; Cypriniformes; Danionidae. The record is from Ensembl.
GACAACGAAUCGUUUUCCUUCUAGAACUUACACCCACAACAACCCGGAAGUCUCGUGUCCUUUGAGAGAACACGAUUAUGUGUUUACCGGGACACUAUUUUGAAUUCUGAUCGAGUAUGUCAUUAAUUUUAUGAUGCCUUUCUGAACCGAUAACAAAAAUAAAAUCCACACGUUUCCAUGGUAACGGACGUGGCGUUCUCCAUCGGACAAUCAUGGCGGAUGAUUUGGACGAUUUACUUGAUGAAGUCGAAUCAAAGUUUUGUUGCAACACUUCGGAGUCUAAACAGACAAGCCGUGUUAUGAAACAUACGGAUCAAAAGUGUGACAAUCUCGAAGAAAGGAAACUGCCAAGAAAACAAGGACGUAAAAGAGUUGAAAAUGAGAUAGAUAUUGACGCUAUGCUGCAUGAAAUACUGGAUGAUGAUGUUGAUACACCAACCAGCACACAUGAACCCAGUCCAGCAAAGGCAUCCUCAAGUGCUCAGACAAUCUC